CGUUGGUGCGCGUCUGUUGCAUUCGUCAUUAGUGUGGCGUCAGUCAUCAGAUCCUUAGCUUAACACUAGGGCUCGAAUCGUUCGGUGCGGUGCUCACUGCGUUUUCAACGAAGGGGAUGAAGACGACUUUGACAAAAUCGAGCCAAGUGGAUACGGACAGAGGGAGCAUUUGCAUUCCCUUGAUGAAUGAUUCUUCACUUUUCAACUACAGUAUUCAUCCAUUUUAAUUCCACAGAGUUGAUCGAAUUACUCGCCCACAAAUUCAAUUACAAUUGGAGUUAGAGAUAUGUUGCUGCCCAAUUGUAUAAAUGAUUCUUUUUUUAAAUAGAAAAUAUUUGUCUUUGCACUGAAAGGAGUUGUCUCCACUGUCGCAUCAUCUUUCGGAGAAAAAGAAUCACUUAUGCCUGUAUAAUCUCAAGUCAUUAGGUGAUCAAGUGGGAUGGUAAACAUGAAUUUUAUUUUAUUAAAUAUUUUGAUAUAAGAAUUCAUGACGUAUCAUUUGAUGAUUUACUCUUCUUGUUGCUGGUUGAGUAUUUAAUGUAAUUCUUUACUGUUAUCUAAACUUAAUAACAAAGGUUGUGAAUUUUUAAAAAAAAUAAAUAAAUGCCUUCAAGGUAGGAGUGUUAUAGAAUUACCCUCACCCAGAAGUGUAGUCGGAUAUGUGCAACCCAAUUGCAUAAAUGAUUUCAUUUUAAACUUAGAUAUAUAAAACAAAUAAUUGGUGAUGAGAACUUUCAUCGACAUGGUUGUAGUUUACUUUACUUUUGUUUUUAAAAGUGGGAAGUUCCUCCUCAAUUUUGUACCAUUUGGUAAUUAAAUAUAUACCUGCAAUAAGAAACAGCAUCAAAUAUAAAUUGAAAAUUGUUACUGUCAAUUUUUUAAUACAAAAAAUUUUAAACAUGAAAUAGAAUAUUAUGGUCUUUUAAAAUAUAUAUAUACAUGGUAACGGAUAAAGUUGAUUAACAACCUGAAGUUUAUAUAACCUACACAAGCCUGAAGUUGCAGUUGCAGUUGUUGAUGGUCCUACAAUUAGAAUAUUUUGAGAUUAAUUUUCUGAAAACAAUUACAGUCAAAGGUGUUACAUAAUUUAUUAAAAAGAAGGGAAAAAAGUUUGUCUUCUUAACAGGGAACAAAUGGCAAGAAAACCACAAGCAGAGAACAGCCGGUUUGUUAAAGAAACACAAGAGAGGAAGGAUUACAUUCAUGGGCAGCACGAGUCUUCCUUCCUACAGGACAGUAAAAGACAGAUUAUGCAGAAUCUACUAAU
Molecule: long non-coding RNA, 1267 nt
Organism: Diospyros lotus (date-plum)
Lineage: Eukaryota; Viridiplantae; Streptophyta; Magnoliopsida; Ericales; Ebenaceae
Exons: 2
Source: RefSeq, a predicted model, not a curated record